RNAcentral lists this ribosomal RNA (286 nucleotides) under uncultured bacterium. Its description in RNAcentral is "partial 16S ribosomal RNA". It matches the Rfam family "Bacterial small subunit ribosomal RNA", at positions 333 to 636 of the family's 1533-position model. The record is from RNAcentral.
UCGUGCCUACGGGGGGCAGCAGUGGGGAAUAUUGCACAAUGGGGGAAACCCUGAUGCAGCGACGCCGCGUGAGUGAAGAAGUAUUUCGGUAUGUAAAGCUCUAUCAGCAGGGAAGAAAAUGACGGUACCUGACUAAGAAGCCCCGGCUAACUACGUGCCAGCAGCCGCGGUAAUACGUAGGGGGCAAGCGUUAUCCGGAUUUACUGGGUGUAAAGGGAGCGUAGACGGCAGCGCCAGUCUGACGUGAAAUCCCAUGGCUUAACCAUGGAACUGCUUUGGACACUGU